This 460-nucleotide ribosomal RNA is filed under the name uncultured bacterium. RNAcentral's name for it is "partial 16S ribosomal RNA". It matches the Rfam family "Bacterial small subunit ribosomal RNA", at positions 338 to 795 of the family's 1533-position model. The record is from RNAcentral.
CCUACGGGAGGCAGCAGUGAGGAAUAUUGGUCAAUGGGCGCGAGCCUGAACCAGCCAAGUCGCGUGAAGGAUGACUGCCCUACGGGUUGUAAACUUCUUUUAUAGAGGCAUAAAGUGAUGCCCGUGUGCCUUUUUGUAUGUACUUACUGAGUACGGAUAGCCUAACUCCGUGCCAGCAGCCGCGGUAAUACGGAGGGUCCGAGCGUUAUCCGGAUUUAUUGGGUUUAAAGGGAGCGUAGAUGGGUUGUUAAGUCAGUUGGGAAAGGUUGCGGUUCAACCGUAAAAUUGCAAUUGAUACUGGUAGGCUUGAGUACAGGAGAGGUAGGUGGAAUUCGUGGUGUAGCGGUGAAAUGCUUAGAUAUUACGAAGAACACCGAUGGCGAAGGCGGCUUACUAAACUGCAACUGACAUUGAGGCUCGAAAGUGUGGGGAGCAAACAGGAUUAGAUACCCAAGUAGUC